GAUGAACGCUGGCGGCGUGCCUAAUACAUGCAAGUCGAGCGAACGGACGAGAAGCUUGCUUCUCUGAUGUUAGCGGCGGACGGGUGAGUAACACGUGGAUAACCUACCUAUAAGACUGGGAUAACUUCGGGAAACCGUAGCUAAUACCGGAUAAUAUUUUGAACCGCAUGGUUCAAAAGUGAAAGACGGUCUUUCUGUCACUUAUAGAUGGAUCCGCGCUGCAUUAGCUAGUUGGUAAGGUAACGGCUUACCAAGGCAACGAUGCAUAGCCGACCUGAGAGGGUGAUCGGCCACCCUGGAACUGAGACACGGUCCAGGCUCCUACGGGAGGCAGCAGUAGGGAAUCUUCCGCAAUGGGCGAAAGCCUGACGGAGCAACGCCGCGUGAGUGAUGAAGGUCUUCGGAUCGUAAAACUCUGUUAUUAGGGAAGAACAUAUGUGUAAGUAACUGUGCACAGCUUGACGGUACCUAAUCAGAAAGCCACGGCUAACUACGUG
This 497-nucleotide ribosomal RNA is filed under the name uncultured bacterium. Its description in RNAcentral is "partial 16S ribosomal RNA". It matches the Rfam family "Bacterial small subunit ribosomal RNA", at positions 28 to 507 of the family's 1533-position model. The record is from RNAcentral.